GGGAGGGGCUCCCACGGUGCAGCUGCGGGCUGAAGGGCUCCUCAAGCGCGGCCAGAGUGGGCUGAGGCCGAGGAGGCGCGGAGAGCCAGCGAGGGAUGCCAGCAAGCUGUCACCUCUCAGAAAUACAGGAAGAACAUCAAUAAUGUUCGAAGUUAUAAAUUGCGGAGGUCAGAAGUCAGAAAACAAGGUGUCUGCAGGACCAACCUCUCCUCUGGAUGCUCUAGGUGUUGAAAUUUCCAGGAUGCAAAACGAAGGGGCAAUUCAAAACAUUCAUCUCCACUUCUCAAAAACAUCGAGUCAUGAAUAUGGAAUGACUUCACCUGACUUCACUUGAAAUUCACUUAAUUUUCAACUCUGUUGGCUAUGAG
RNAcentral lists this long non-coding RNA (368 nucleotides) under Homo sapiens (human). RNAcentral's name for it is "HSALNT0325620". Lineage: Eukaryota; Metazoa; Chordata; Mammalia; Primates; Hominidae. The record is from RNAcentral.